Molecule: ribosomal RNA, 253 nt
Filed under: uncultured bacterium
Lineage: Bacteria
Description: partial 16S ribosomal RNA
Rfam family: Bacterial small subunit ribosomal RNA
Source: RNAcentral
UACGAAGGGGGCUAGCGUUGUUCGGAAUUACUGGGCGUAAAGCGCGCGCAGGCGGCUAUCCAAGUCAGUGGUGAAAGCCCGGAGCUCAACUCCGGAACUGCCAUUGAAACUGUUUAGCUUGAGGACGAGAGAGGUGAGUGGAAUUCCCAGUGUAGAGGUGAAAUUCGUAGAUAUUGGGAAGAACACCGGUGGCGAAGGCGGCUCACUGGGACGGUACUGACGCUGAGACGCGAAAGCGUGGGGAGCGAACAGG